This 474-nucleotide non-coding RNA is filed under the name Streptomyces nodosus. Its description in RNAcentral is "Bacterial small subunit ribosomal RNA". It matches the Rfam family "Bacterial small subunit ribosomal RNA", at positions 9 to 498 of the family's 1533-position model. Lineage: Bacteria; Bacillati; Actinomycetota; Actinomycetes; Kitasatosporales; Streptomycetaceae. The record is from Rfam by way of RNAcentral.
GAGUUUGAUCCUGGCUCAGGACGAACGCUGGCGGCGUGCUUAACACAUGCAAGUCGAACGAUGAAGCCCUUCGGGGUGGAUUAGUGGCGAACGGGUGAGUAACACGUGGGCAAUCUGCCCUGCACUCUGGGACAAGCCCUGGAAACGGGGUCUAAUACCGGAUACGAGCCGGGGAGGCAUCUCCCCUGGUUGGAAAGCUCCGGCGGUGCAGGAUGAGCCCGCGGCCUAUCAGCUUGUUGGUGAGGUAACGGCUCACCAAGGCGACGACGGGUAGCCGGCCGUGAGAGGGCGACCGGCCACGACUGGGACUGAGACACGGCCCACGACUCCUACGGGAGGCAGCAGUGGGGAAUAUUGCACAAUGGGCGAAAGCCUGAUGCAGCGACGCCGCGUGAGGGAUGACGGCCUUCGGGUUGUAACCGUCUUUCANNNNNNNNNNNNNNNNNNNNGUGAGACGAGUCAGAACCGUUGAGU